This is a long non-coding RNA of Lathyrus oleraceus (garden pea), 1068 nucleotides long. RefSeq lists it as uncharacterized. NCBI's taxonomy places the organism in Eukaryota, Viridiplantae, Streptophyta, Magnoliopsida, Fabales, Fabaceae. The record is from RefSeq and is a predicted model, not a curated record. The transcript is spliced from 2 exons.
GAAACAGAGAGAAAACUCACGGCAAUUCGGAGGGCUUCACCUUCGACUAGUGGGAUUCACCAAAAAGGGUUCAAAAGGAGAUUCUUUUCAUUCUUCAGAGUAAGAACGAUUAUCAACGUGAAUCAACAACGAGCGUAUAUCUCCUCUGAACCGCUGCAUCGGAAUAAAUCGAGUAUACAAGCAAGUGAACAGUAGCACAAGAACGUCAAUACUGUUUAGUAAAAACAACCAAACAAAUACGCCAUUUUUGAGCCGAACUACGAAGCUCUGACUUCCCUAUUGCACGUAUGGGGAUACGUAGGCACGAGGGCCCAACUCCUUGUCGAGCACACUAAAUUAAAACUUAUUUUCUCUCCCACCUUAUUCUUUUAUCUCACUCCCGAUAGUAAGCAAUUAACAGAUAAAUAAACAUCCAUACGCAAUUGAUAUGAGCAAGUGGUUCCCAUGGAGUACCAUGGAUGUGAGGGGUGAUAAUACCUUCCCCUCGCAUAACCGACUUCCGAAUUCGCUCUUUGUUGCGAGACCAUUUCUCUCAUUUGGGGUUUUAUCGCUAUUUUCCCUUUACUUUGGAAUAAAUAAAAUCCGGUGGCGCCUCUGUAUUUUUCGCGGCGCUUCACUGGUGGAUUGAAAACUUGAAAGAGCAAUCCUGUCAAAAAUUAGGGACUAGUAUAAAAAUAAAACCCGAUAAGUCGAAAACACAAAAGGGAGGCUUAGGAGAAAUAGGGUAUAUCAUCCUGGUGGACUAAGACUCGAAAAGAGCAGUCCAGGCAAAAAAUAGAGAUAUCCAAAAGGCAUAUGACCUCAUCAUUUAUUUCUUCCUACAACAAGAAUUUAGAUGGGAGUAAUCAAUUCAAUCAUCACCUUCGAAAGCAAAGUAUUGUGACCUCAAAGAGAUAGGGAUAAUAGAACGUGUUGGGUUAAACAGGGACAUGAAUAAAGUUGUUUUUCAUUGCCAUUUUUACAUCUUCUUAGAUUUUUGGUAAUUUCUCCUUACAGGAAUUACUUCUUUAUGCAAUAUCGCCCAUUUACGGGCCAAAUCUCAAUUAAUGAAAUUUGUUUUUUGAAUCA